RNAcentral lists this ribosomal RNA (429 nucleotides) under Acidobacteriota bacterium. RNAcentral describes it as "Acidobacteria bacterium partial 16S ribosomal RNA". It matches the Rfam family "Bacterial small subunit ribosomal RNA", at positions 355 to 776 of the family's 1533-position model. Lineage: Bacteria; Pseudomonadati; Acidobacteriota. The record is from RNAcentral.
UGGGGAAUUUUGGACAAUGGGGGAAACCCUGAUCCAGCCAUCCCGCGUGUGCGAUGAAGGCCUUCGGGUUGUAAAGCACUUUUGGCAGGAAAGAAACGUCAUGGGUUAAUACCCCGUGAAACUGACGGUACCUGCAGAAUAAGCACCGGCUAACUACGUGCCAGCAGCCGCGGUAAUACGUAGGGUGCAAGCGUUAAUCGGAAUUACUGGGCGUAAAGCGUGCGCAGGCGGUUCGGAAAGAAAGAUGUGAAAUCCCAGAGCUCAACUUUGGAACUGCAUUUUUAACUACCGGGCUGGAGUAUGUCAGAGGGAGGUGGAAUUCCGCGUGUAGCAGUGAAAUGCGUGGAUAUGCGGAGGAACACCGAUGGCGAAGGCAGCCUCCUGGGAUAACACUGACGCUCAUGAACGAAAGCGUGGGGAGCAAACAGG